ACGAACGCUGGCGGCGUGCCUAAUACAUGCAAGUCGAGCGAAUCGAUGGGAGCUUGCUCCCUGAGAUUAGCGGCGGACGGGUGAGUAACACGUGGGUAACCUGCCUGUAAGACUGGGAUAACUUCGGGAAACCGGAGCUAAUACCGGAUAGUUUCUUUUCUCGCAUGAGAGAAGAUGGAAAGAUGGUUCUGCUAUCACUUACAGAUGGACCCGCGGCGCAUUAGCUAGUUGGUGAGGUAACGGCUCACCAAGGCGACGAUGCGUAGCCGACCUGAGAGGGUGAUCGGCCACACUGGGACUGAGACACGGCCCAGACUCCUACGGGAGGCAGCAGUAGGGAAUCUUCCGCAAUGGACGAAAGUCUGACGGAGCAACGCCGCGUGAGCGAAGAAGGCCUUCGGGUCGUAAAGCUCUGUUGUUAGGGAAGAACAAGUACGAGAGUAACUGCUCGUACCUUGACGGUACCUAACCAGAAAGCCACGGCUAACUACGUG
Molecule: ribosomal RNA, 494 nt
Filed under: uncultured bacterium
Lineage: Bacteria
Description: bacterial SSU rRNA
Rfam family: Bacterial small subunit ribosomal RNA
Source: RNAcentral